Carlito syrichta (Philippine tarsier) is the source of this 456-nucleotide long non-coding RNA. RefSeq lists it as uncharacterized. Lineage: Eukaryota; Metazoa; Chordata; Mammalia; Primates; Tarsiidae. The record is from RefSeq and is a predicted model, not a curated record. The transcript has 5 exons.
CUGCCCUGGGCACCCUGGAGUUCACGCUUCUCUUCGAUGCGGACAGCAGCGCCCUGCACUGCACAGCUCACCGUGCCAAGGGCCUCAAGCUGAUGGCCUCGGGCUCUGUGAACACCUAUGUCAAGGCCAACCUGCUACCAGGGGCCAGCAAGGCCAGCCAGCUUCGGACACGUACCGUUUGGGGCACACGGGGACCGGUCUGGGAGGAGACACUCACCUAUCAGGGCUUCACCCGCCAGGACGCGGCACGCAAGACCCUGCGGCUGUGCGUGUGCGAGGACCCACGGCUGCGGUGACGGCGGCGGGCACCCCCCCUGGGGGAGCUGCGGGUGCCUCUGAGGAAGCUGGUGCCCAGCCGAGCCCGGAGCUUUGAUGUCUGUCUGGAGAAGUGGAGGCUGACCAAGAGGCCCAAGAGUCUGGACACGGCCCGCGGCAUGUCCCUGUAUGAGAAGGUGG